Molecule: ribosomal RNA, 429 nt
Filed under: Chloroflexota bacterium
Lineage: Bacteria; Bacillati; Chloroflexota
Description: Chloroflexi bacterium partial 16S ribosomal RNA
Rfam family: Bacterial small subunit ribosomal RNA
Source: RNAcentral
UGGGGAAUAUUGCACAAUGGGCGCAAGCCUGAUGCAGCCAUGCCGCGUGUGUGAAGAAGGCCUUCGGGUUGUAAAGCACUUUCAGCGGGGAGGAAGGCGUUAAGGUUAAUAACCUUGGCGAUUGACGUUACCCGCAGAAGAAGCACCGGCUAACUCCGUGCCAGCAGCCGCGGUAAUACGGAGGGUGCAAGCGUUAAUCGGAAUUACUGGGCGUAAAGCGCACGCAGGCGGUCUGUCAAGUCGGAUGUGAAAUCCCCGGGCUCAACCUGGGAACUGCAUUCGAAACUGGCAGGCCAGAGUCUUGUAGAGGGGGGUAGAAUUCCAGGUGUAGCGGUGAAAUGCGUAGAGAUCUGGAGGAAUACCGGUGGCGAAGGCGGCCCCCUGGACAAAGACUGACGCUCAGGUGCGAAAGCGUGGGGAGCAAACAGG